Molecule: unclassified non-coding RNA, 400 nt
Filed under: soil metagenome
Description: partial contains 5.8S ribosomal RNA, internal transcribed spacer 2, and large subunit ribosomal RNA
Rfam family: 5.8S ribosomal RNA (bases 1-122)
Source: RNAcentral
GAUGAAGAACGUAGCGAAAUGCGAUACUUGGUGUGAAUUGCAGAAUCCCGUGAACCAUCGAGUCUUUGAACGCAAGUUGCGCCUCAAGCCAUUAGGUUGAGGGCACGUCUGCCUGGGCGUCACAUAUCGUUGCCUGAUGCCAGUUUCCUCGUGAUGGGUGACUGUGCAGGGCGAAUGAUGGCUUCCCGUGAGCAUUGUUGCCUCAUGGUUGGUUGAAAAUUGAGUCCUUGGUAGGGAGCGCCGUGAUAGAUGGUGGUUGAGUGACGAACGAGACCCAAUCAUGUGAGACCCCUACCGAAUUUGGCCUUCAUGACCCACAUGCGUCUUUGGAACGCUCAUGACGAGACUUCAGGUCAGGCGGGGCUACCCGCUGAGUUUAAGCAUAUCAAUAAGCGGAGGA